CAUAAAUAAAUAAAUCUAUAUAAUAAGGAAGCUCAGAUUUUUGAAUCUGGAUGGGACUUUUGUCCCUUUGUCCAAAUUUUGACCAUUAGAUUGAUUUGAUCUAAGGGCUAAAAACAUCUCACUUUCAUCUCUUUCAACACACACUCUCUCAACACAUACCCUCUCUCUCUCACACAUACUCCUCUCCUCUGUUCUGUUUUCAAAUUUUGAACACACUCUCUCUCUCUCUCCCUCCAUUGGAGCCCAUUCCCGUGCUUCCCUGUCGAAACCCAACUCUUGCCGUGCUUCCCUGUCUUCAUCUUCUCUCUUCCUCCCUCCCUCUCUGCCAUUUUGAACACUCUCUCUCUCUCUCUCCCUCCAUUGGAGCCCAUUCCCGUGCUUCCCUGUCGAAACCCAACUCUUGCCGUGCUUCCCUGUCUUCAUCUUCUCUCUUCCUCCCUCCCUCUCUGCCGUCAACAAGGGAGUCGUCACUGCAGGAACCGGACCGAAGUCUGUCCCCGGCCAAGCCAAUAUAUAUUAUUAUGAAGGGGAAGAAGACAGUUGCAGAUGUUAUGCCAAUUGCUACAGGUCAUGAGCGUGAAGAACUUUAGGCCGAACUCAAGGUUUGAAGCAUUGAGUCUGAAGCAUUGUGGACUUCCUUAAGACCUUUCAUAUCCAAACAAGGUUUUGGCAAUAUUAAGCUGGAACAACCUCUAACAUUAUGGAU
Molecule: non-coding RNA, 706 nt
Organism: Camellia sinensis
Lineage: Eukaryota; Viridiplantae; Streptophyta; Magnoliopsida; Ericales; Theaceae
Source: RefSeq, a predicted model, not a curated record